Molecule: ribosomal RNA, 1535 nt
Filed under: Citrobacter sp. IITRBL4
Lineage: Bacteria; Pseudomonadati; Pseudomonadota; Gammaproteobacteria; Enterobacterales; Enterobacteriaceae
Description: bacterial SSU rRNA
Rfam family: Bacterial small subunit ribosomal RNA
Source: RNAcentral
AGAGUUUGAUCACGGCUCAGAUUGAACGCUGGCGGCAGGCCUAACACAUGCAAGUCGAACGGUAGCACAGAGGAGCUUGCUCCUUGGGUGACGAGUGGCGGACGGGUGAGUAAUGUCUGGGAAACUGCCCGAUGGAGGGGGAUAACUACUGGAAACGGUAGCUAAUACCGCAUAACGUCGCAAGACCAAAGAGGGGGACCUUCGGGCCUCUUGCCAUCGGAUGUGCCCAGAUGGGAUUAGCUAGUAGGUGGGGUAACGGCUCACCUAGGCGACGAUCCCUAGCUGGUCUGAGAGGAUGACCAGCCACACUGGAACUGAGACACGGUCCAGACUCCUACGGGAGGCAGCAGUGGGGAAUAUUGCACAAUGGGCGCAAGCCUGAUGCAGCCAUGCCGCGUGUAUGAAGAAUGCCUUCGGGUUGUAAAGUACUUUCAGCGAGGAGGAAGGCGUUGUGGUUAAUAACCGCAGCGAUUGACGUUACUCGCAGAAGAAGCACCGGCUAACUCCGUGCCAGCAGCCGCGGUAAUACGGAGGGUGCAAGCGUUAAUCGGAAUUACUGGGCGUAAAGCGCACGCAGGCGGUCUGUCAAGUCGGAUGUGAAAUCCCCGGGCUCAACCUGGGAACUGCAUCCGAAACUGGCAGGCUAGAGUCUUGUAGAGGGGGGUAGAAUUCCAGGUGUAGCGGUGAAAUGCGUAGAGAUCUGGAGGAAUACCGGUGGCGAAGGCGGCCCCCUGGACAAAGACUGACGCUCAGGUGCGAAAGCGUGGGGAGCAAACAGGAUUAGAUACCCUGGUAGUCCACGCCGUAAACGAUGUCGACUUGGAGGUUGUGCCCUUGAGGCGUGGCUUCCGGAGCUAACGCGUUAAGUCGACCGCCUGGGGAGUACGGCCGCAAGGUUAAAACUCAAAUGAAUUGACGGGGGCCCGCACAAGCGGUGGAGCAUGUGGUUUAAUUCGAUGCAACGCGAAGAACCUUACCUACUCUUGACAUCCAGAGAACUUAGCAGAGAUGCUUUGGUGCCUUCGGGAACUCUGAGACAGGUGCUGCAUGGCUGUCGUCAGCUCGUGUUGUGAAAUGUUGGGUUAAGUCCCGCAACGAGCGCAACCCUUAUCCUUUGUUGCCAGCGGUUACGCCGGGAACUCAAAGGAGACUGCCAGUGAUAAACUGGAAGAACGUGGGGAUGACGUCAAGUCAUCAUGCCCCAUUACGAGUCGGGCUACACACGUGCUACAAUGGCAUAUACAAAGAGAAGCGACCUCGCGAGAGCAAGCGGACCUCAUAAAGUAUGUCGUAGUCCGGAUUGGAGUCUGCAACUCGACUCCAUGAAGUCGGAAUCGCUAGUAAUCGUGGAUCAGAAUGCCACGGUGAAUACGUUCCCGGGCCUUGUACACACCGCCCGUCACACCAUGGGAGUGGGUUGCAAAAGAAGUAGGUAGCUUAACCUUCGGGAGGGCGCUUACCACUUUGUGAUUCAUGACUGGGGUGAAGUCGUAACAAGGUAACCGUAGGGGAACCUGCGGUUGGAUCACCUCCUU